CACUAAGAAAAAAAAAAAAAAAAAGAGAGAGAGAGAAAAAUGGGCCAGA
This 49-nucleotide ribosomal RNA is filed under the name Laurus azorica. RNAcentral's name for it is "26S ribosomal RNA". The record is from RNAcentral. Lineage: Eukaryota; Viridiplantae; Streptophyta; Magnoliopsida; Laurales; Lauraceae.